This 688-nucleotide ribosomal RNA is filed under the name uncultured Sebacina. RNAcentral's name for it is "eukaryotic LSU rRNA". The stretch from base 275 to 428 matches the Rfam family "5.8S ribosomal RNA". The record is from RNAcentral. Lineage: Eukaryota; Fungi; Basidiomycota; Agaricomycetes; Sebacinales; Sebacinaceae.
CUUGGUCAUUUAGAGGAAGUAAAAGUCGUAACAAGGUUUCCGUAGGUGAACCUGCGGAAGGAUCAUUAACGAAUUUCGAUUCGGUCUUCUGUGCUGGUGGCAACACAUGUGCACGUCGAUCGUAAUUCCAUCCUCCUUUCAAUUGUCCAAGUGCGUUCGGUCGGCCUCUGGGUCGAAGAAGCGUGGCUGCCAGGCUCGUUUCGUUCUGAAUGCACAUUGGUUAUUUCACCCACUCUGGGUACUAGAAACAAAGAAAUAUUCAUAUAAACUAUACAACUUUCAACAACGGAUCUCUUGGCUCUCGCAUCGAUGAAGAACGCAGCGAAAUGCGAUAAGUAAUGUGAAUUGCAGAAUUCAGUGAAUCAUCGAAUCUUUGAACGCACCUUGCACCCUUUGGUAUUCCGAAGGGUACGCCCGUUUGAGUGUCAUUGUAAUCUCACCUCUACAACUUUGUUGUGUGAAGUGGACUUGGACAAUGUCGUGUAACAACGACUGGUCUUAAAAUUAUGAGUGUACCCUGCUGUUGCAGCGUCUUCAGUGUGAUAAUAUCUUCACUGAUCAAAGUUCCUUUGGGACACGCAAGCAUUGUGGGCCCUGCGCUUCCAAUCGUCUCUGGACAUACUUGACAAUUUGACCUCAAAUCGGGCGGGACUACCCGCUGAACUUAAGCAUAUCAAUAAGCGGAGGA